GACGAACGCUGGCGGCGCGCUUAACACAUGCAAGUCGAACGGAAAGGCCUGCUUUCCCUUGUGGAUUGCGGGUACUCGAGUGGCGAACGGGUGAGUAACACGUGAGUGAUCUGCCCCCAACUUGGGUAUAAGCCUGGGAAACUGGGUCUAAUUCCCGAUAGGACUGCAGGGUGGUGCCUGUGGUGGAAAACGAUUUUCUAGUGGUUGGGGAUGAGCUCGCGGCCUAUCAGCUUGUUGGUGGGGUAAUGGCCUACCAAGGCGGCGACGGGUAGCCGGCCUGAGAGGGUGGACGGCCACAUUGGGACUGAGAUACGGCCCAGACUCCUACGGGAGGCAGCAGUGGGGAAUAGUGCACAAUGGGAGGAAGCCUGAUGCAGCGACGCCGCGUGGGGGAUGACGGCCUUCGGGUUGUAAACUCCUUUCGACCGCGAGGAAGCCACCUGGUUGGAAGGGUGGUGACGGUAGUGGUAGAAGAAGCACCGGCUAACUACGU
This 493-nucleotide ribosomal RNA is filed under the name uncultured bacterium. Its description in RNAcentral is "partial 16S ribosomal RNA". It matches the Rfam family "Bacterial small subunit ribosomal RNA", at positions 28 to 506 of the family's 1533-position model. The record is from RNAcentral.